AAUGGGCGAAAGCCUGACCCAGCAACGCCGCGUGAAGGAUGAAGGUUUUCGGAUUGUAAACUUCUUUGAUCGGGGAAGAAUAAAGACGGUACCCGAGGAACAAGCCACGGCUAACUACGUGCCAGCAGCCGCGGUAAUACGUAGGUGGCGAGCGUUAUCCGGAAUUACUGGGUGUAAAGGGCGUGUAGGCGGGAAGACAAGUCAGAAGUGAAAUCCCAGGGCUUAACCCUGGUGCUGCUUCUGAAACUGUUUUUCUUGAGUGUCGGAGAGGAAAGUGGAAUUCCCAGUGUAGCGGUGAAAUGCGUAGAGAUUGGGAGGAACACCAGUGGCGAAGGCGGCUUUCUGGACGAUAACUGACGCUGAGGCGCGAAAGCGUGGGGAGCAAA
RNAcentral lists this ribosomal RNA (386 nucleotides) under uncultured bacterium. RNAcentral describes it as "bacterial SSU rRNA". It matches the Rfam family "Bacterial small subunit ribosomal RNA", at positions 370 to 772 of the family's 1533-position model. The record is from RNAcentral.